Molecule: ribosomal RNA, 253 nt
Filed under: uncultured bacterium
Lineage: Bacteria
Description: partial 16S ribosomal RNA
Rfam family: Bacterial small subunit ribosomal RNA
Source: RNAcentral
UACGUAGGGUGCAAGCGUUGUCCGGAAUUAUUGGGCGUAAAGAGCUCGUAGGUGGUUUGUCGCGUUGUUCGUGAAAACUCACAGCUUAACUGUGGGCGUGCGGGCGAUACGGGCAGACUGGAGUACUGCAGGGGAGAGUGGAAUUCCUGGUGUAGCGGUGAAAUGCGCAGAUAUCAGGAAGAACACCUAUGGCGAAGGCAGCUCUCUGGGACGGUACUGACGCUGAGACGCGAAAGCGUGGGGAGCGAACAGG